Molecule: non-coding RNA, 760 nt
Organism: Macaca mulatta (Rhesus monkey)
Lineage: Eukaryota; Metazoa; Chordata; Mammalia; Primates; Cercopithecidae
Source: RefSeq, a predicted model, not a curated record
GCCGCCGGCGCACGGGUCGUUGGGAAGAGGAGGUGGCCCGCGGCCCCUCGGAGUCCCACCAGGGUCGGUCGCCAUCUUGCGACUGGACAGAAAGGAUAAUCCCUCCUUUUAGUUUGUGCUGUCUGUGACCCGAAAGAAUAAACCUGGUACAUCCGGAAGCCCUCUGGGCACCCCCCAGGAGGGUUGCAGAGCCCCUUGGUGUACCCAGCCGAGGAAUGCCUCCGACUGUGUAGGGAGACGAAUGGCUCCGAAAGUCAGCUGAAACCGCAGGAAUAGUCCCCAGCCCCGAGGCGGGGCAGGUGCCUGGCGUUAUUAACUUUUCCACCCCAACCCUUUUCUAUCUGGAGCUGUCUUUAUAGGUGUUGCAGGGGUGCCCCGAGAGUGCAGGCCAGAUUUUAGAGGACCAAGGUCAUCUGCUUAGGCCUCUUGCCAACACGGGAUGUGUCAACUAGUUUACCGGAGACGAAGGUGUGUUUUUCCCAGAAAAACAACUUUGUAUCUACUAAGUGAACAGUGAUUUCUUCAGACUUUUCUUGUCAAAAUGAGACCCAGUGGUUUCUAAUAAUUUUCUCAUUUCAAGUGUACAGUAAAAAGAACAAUUUAAUUUUAUAAACAUCUGCAUCCAAUGCCUUGAGCAAACUUUGAGCUAAUGUUUACCCAGAACUAUUUGUAUGUCAUACGUUGGACUACUUGAACUACUAUUUAUGUUCCAGACCUUGGGAAACAAUAAAAGAUGAACAGUCUCUAUCCCUGCCCUCAA